CUGGCCCUCGGGCUGGCGGGGUGCCGCCGGCUGGGGGCGCUGGCCAGGGCCCGGGCCCGGUCGGCCGGCUCCGUGGUCGGCGAGCCGGACC
This 91-nucleotide transfer RNA is filed under the name Kitasatospora indigofera. RNAcentral's name for it is "tRNA-Pro". The record is from RNAcentral. Lineage: Bacteria; Bacillati; Actinomycetota; Actinomycetes; Kitasatosporales; Streptomycetaceae.